ACGGAAGAGGCCCUGCGGAGGCGGCGGUGCAGCGCUCCGGUGGAAUGAAUCUUACUUGUUGAAUAUCUUCUGGUUACUAGUUGGAUUCAUUUGUGAAAGAAUCAUUUUCCCCUGUGUGGAAGACACUUAGUGGCAUAUUUAAAUUGCCGGAUCAAAAAGCUUUUUGAUUUCCCAAAGGAGGGACAUACCACUAUAUCAGAUAAGCUUGACAUUACAGCCAAGAUGGUGCUGUCCCAGAGACAACGAGAUGAACUGUAAGUUUCUUUGUUUUGUGCUUUAAAAAAAAUCUCCCUCAUGAGAGAGAAAGUAGUAAAUUAAAAUACAGCUUUGGGAGGUCUCUUCUAAGAUUAAAACUAUUUUUACCAGUGUUCCAAUAUUGGUUUAGGCAGUUUGGUCUGAUUUUAAAAGUCUUACUAUGAUAUAGCAUUAUUUUUAAAAUGUAUUUAUUUUUUCUGAGAAGGAGUUUUUCGCUCUUGUCACCCAGGCUGGAGUGCAGUGGCGCCAUCUCGGCUCACUUCAACCUCCACCUCCUGGGUUCAAGCAAUUCUCCUGCCUCAGCCUCCCACGUAGCUGGGAUUAC
Molecule: small RNA, 580 nt
Filed under: Pongo abelii (Sumatran orangutan)
Lineage: Eukaryota; Metazoa; Chordata; Mammalia; Primates; Hominidae
Description: retained intron
Source: RNAcentral